CGCGGGGUGGAGCAGUUCGGUAGCUCGCUGGGCUCAUAACCCAGAGGUCGCAGGUUCGAAUCCUGUCCCCGCUA
Saccharomonospora viridis DSM 43017 is the source of this 74-nucleotide transfer RNA. It matches the Rfam family "tRNA". From Rfam's summary of the family: Transfer RNA (tRNA) molecules are approximately 80 nucleotides in length. Their secondary structure includes four short double-helical elements and three loops (D, anti-codon, and T loops). The record is from Rfam. Lineage: Bacteria; Bacillati; Actinomycetota; Actinomycetes; Pseudonocardiales; Pseudonocardiaceae.